Equus caballus (horse) is the source of this 1449-nucleotide non-coding RNA. The record is from RefSeq and is a predicted model, not a curated record. NCBI's taxonomy places the organism in Eukaryota, Metazoa, Chordata, Mammalia, Perissodactyla, Equidae.
AAAAAAAUUUUUCAAAUAGUAAUUUUGAUAAUCUGAAGACACAGUUUUGAGGAUAGGUUUUUUGAUUAAUAAAUUACUUAUUAAAAUUAAAUGACAAAUCAAAAUUUUAGCCAUCUCACAUUAAAAUACUUUGGUAUCUAAGUCACAGAAAGAAUAUCAAUUAGUUUUUCUACAUUGUCUCCGACACAAAAACUGAUUGCAUUUUGCUUUAUUUUGGCUGACUGUGCUUUGAAUCACAGAAUGUUCACUUCUAAAGAAUCUUAUUGCUGCUAUGACAGCACAUGAAAGCAUCAUGCAUUCUCUGCUAGCUCCAGAGGGAGCAAGGGUCCUUUUUAGAGUUAGAGUUCAAGGGCAAACCCCCUGUCUUAUAUCCCAAAGUAAUUUGUCUACAGUCACAUUCUCAGGUUUUUUCAGACACUCUUGGCCCACUCCACCCUGACUCCUGGUCUACUAACUCCUUGCCUCCUGCUUUUCUUUAAUUGACCUCUACAUUUGGUUUUGGACUUUUUAUUUUUUUAUGCAAAUAUAUUUAGCCAGGUUUCUUUUGAAUCCAUAUUUUGUUAAUCCUUAGCUCUGUUUUCCUCUGCUUGAGAACUCAGGAGAUUUUUGUGGAUAACAUUUGAGAAAUUACCCUUUAAAUAGCUAUAACAUUAACAUAUAGAAAUGCGAUACUAAUCCAGCUACAGACCUCUCACACAGUAGAAACACGGUAGAAAGCUUUUGACAGUAAUAUGCACUCUUUUACUGCUUGUUUUGCACACACAAAAAUCUUACACAAAUGUCAGCAUUGUUGUAUUAUUCCACAAUUUAUUGUUUAAGAGACAUUUACUAGUGACCUGCCUCGCUUACUGGUUCCAGUUUCCUAGUAAACAUUUCUGUAAGGGAAUGGUUUUUGUGCUUUCCUUUUCACUGAGAAAGAUGGUCUUGACAGGAGAUGAGUCACCUUUCACAGUACCCUGACAACAAGGUGUUCUUUUAAUAGAAAAACAGCAGGAGAUUCAGCCUAAAUUGGAUCACUGGCAGGAUAGGAGCAAGAUCACUGAAUUAGCAGGCUAUACUGCUCGAGUGUACAAUAUGUUUUGGGUCUUUGAUGAAGUGAAAAGAGGCAUUUAUAAGAGAACUGCUGCAUGCAAGAGUCUGAAAACCAUAGCAAGAAUGGAGCUAACAUAGAAUUAUCCCUCAGUGAUACGUUGGAAAUCAAAGGAGAAGUUAUUGAUGUGGAUCAUGGAAUUAUUUGCGAAAAUGUUCCCAUACAUACACCAACGGGAGAAGUGGUGGCUUCCAGGCUAAACUUCAAAUGACAGUGGAUUCUAACAUCACGUAGCUUUCCAGAGGUACGUUGUAAUACAUUUCGAAUUCUGUGUAGAUUACGUCGUGUUCACCGCCCAAAAACUAAUUAUAGUCCGUCACCUCACAUGUGAGCCUCAUCGCCCCUUUGGCUCUCUCCCC